UACGUAGGGCGCAAGCGUUAUCCGGAAUUAUUGGGCGUAAAGAGCUCGUAGGCGGUUUGUCGCGUCUGCCGUGAAAGUCCGGGGCUCAACUCCGGAUCUGCGGUGGGUACGGGCAGACUAGAGUGCAGUAGGGGGAGACUGGAAUUCCUGGUGUAGCGGUGAAAUGCGCAGAUAUCAGGAGGAACACCGAUGGCGAAAGCGGCUCUCUGGAACGGUACUGACGCUGAGACGCGAAAGCGUGGGGAGCGAACAGG
RNAcentral lists this ribosomal RNA (254 nucleotides) under uncultured bacterium. Its description in RNAcentral is "partial 16S ribosomal RNA". It matches the Rfam family "Bacterial small subunit ribosomal RNA", at positions 524 to 776 of the family's 1533-position model. The record is from RNAcentral.